CGGGACGUAGCUCAGUAGGGUAGAGCACCGCCUUCGGGAGGCGGGGGUCGCAGGUUCAAAUCCUGUCGUCCCGA
This 74-nucleotide transfer RNA is filed under the name Deltaproteobacteria bacterium. RNAcentral's name for it is "tRNA-Pro". It matches the Rfam family "tRNA". From Rfam's summary of the family: Transfer RNA (tRNA) molecules are approximately 80 nucleotides in length. Their secondary structure includes four short double-helical elements and three loops (D, anti-codon, and T loops). The record is from RNAcentral. Lineage: Bacteria; Pseudomonadati; Myxococcota; Myxococcia. RNAcentral also lists the same sequence under 1 other name.